Molecule: ribosomal RNA, 465 nt
Filed under: uncultured bacterium
Lineage: Bacteria
Description: partial 16S ribosomal RNA
Rfam family: Bacterial small subunit ribosomal RNA
Source: RNAcentral
GACGAACGCUGGCGGCGUGCUUAACACAUGCAAGUCGAACGGAAAGGCCCUGCUUGCAGGGUACUCGAGUGGCGAACGGGUGAGUAACACGUGGGUGAUCUGCCCUGCACUUCGGGAUAAGCCUGGGCAACUGGGUCUAAUACCGGAUAGGAGCCAUUUUUAGUGUGAUGGUUGGAAAGUUUUUUCGGUGUAGGAUGAGCUCGCGGCCUAUCAGCUUGUUGGCGGGGUAAUGGCCUACCAAGGCGACGACGGGUAGCCGGCCUGAGAGGGUGGACGGCCACAUUGGGACUGAGAUACGGCCCAGACUCCGACGGGAGGCAGCAGUGGGGAAUAUUGCACAAUGGGCGCAAGCCUGAUGCAGCGACGCCGCGGGGGGGAUGACGGCCUUCGGGUUGUAAACUCCUUUCGCGAGGGACGAAGCUUUUUGUGACGGUACCUAGAUAAGAAGCACCGGCUAACUACGUG